This 491-nucleotide long non-coding RNA is filed under the name Medicago truncatula (barrel medic). RNAcentral describes it as "lncRNA gene43492". Lineage: Eukaryota; Viridiplantae; Streptophyta; Magnoliopsida; Fabales; Fabaceae. The record is from RNAcentral.
UGAAAAUGAAAUGUUUCAUGGUUCAAUGUUACAAAAUGCUCAGCUUUUCUUCUCUGCAUCUUUCUUAUUGUUCCUCUUCUCUGCUUCUUCCUCCACCAUAUUUUAUACAGUUCAGUAAUCUCUGUCCUACUCCGAGUUUGUUUAUCUGUCACCGUGAAUCCAAUCGCAAAUAUUAUGGUCCUAUUUUUGUGGUGAUUUUUCAGAUCUGUACAUUUUCUUGUUGCUGUGAUUUUUUAGAUUUCAACUUUGAGCAAGAAAAAUUGGUGAAGAUGAUGAAGAUCCUUUGAAGAAGAGAUGAAGAAAACAUGUAAUAUUAAAUUGUCAAUUUAAUAUCUCAAUAAUAUUGGUUUUUCUUGGGACAAAUCUUAAUCGGGUUUAAAUGAAUGAGAUUCAAUUGAAAAUGGCAGCUUCUUUACAAAAAUUAUUCAGAUAGCAGGGCGAUGAUAACAAUAAUGCAUUAACCUUUGAUCAGAAAGAACAAGUAAAAAAAU